RNAcentral lists this ribosomal RNA (458 nucleotides) under uncultured bacterium. RNAcentral's name for it is "partial 16S ribosomal RNA". It matches the Rfam family "Bacterial small subunit ribosomal RNA", at positions 338 to 795 of the family's 1533-position model. The record is from RNAcentral.
CCUACGGGAGGCAGCAGUGGGGAAUAUUGCACAAUGGGGGAAACCCUGAUGCAGCGACGCCGCGUGAGUGAAGAAGCGUUUCGGCGCGUAAAGCUCUGUCAGCGGGGAAGAAACACGGUUCGCGAGAGCCGCGGACGGUACCCGACCAAGAAGCCCCGGCUAACUACGUGCCAGCAGCCGCGGUAAUACGUAGGGUGCGCGCGUUAAUCGGAAUUACUGGGCGUAAAGCGCACGUAGGCUGUAUGACAAGUCAAGGGUGAAAUGCCACGGCUCAACCGUGGAACUGCCUUUGAAACUGUCAAACUGGAGUAUGUGAGAGGGCGGCGGAAUUCCUGGUGUAGGAGUGAAAUCCGUAGAUAUCAGGAGGAACAUCAGUGGCGAAGGCGGCCGCCUGGCACAAAACUGACGCUGAGGUGCGAAAGCGUGGGUAGCAAACAGGAUUAGAUACCCGGGUAGUC